UAUGGCCACAUCAUGUUGAAACAUUGGUUCCUGUAUGAUCACCAAAGUUAAGCAAUGUCAAGCCUGGUCAGUAUCUAGAUGAGUGACUGCUUGGGAAUACCAGGUACUGUAA
Non-coding RNA from Acanthosepion pharaonis, 112 nucleotides. The record is from the annotation of a GenBank genome assembly. Lineage: Eukaryota; Metazoa; Mollusca; Cephalopoda; Sepiida; Sepiidae.